ACAUAUCAAAUGCACAGUAGAUUAUUUCAAUGCGUAUAAAAAAGGUCUUCACAUAUAAGAGCAGUUUUAUGCGUUUGAUUUUACUAUCAUCUCUUCCUCUUCCCCUUCUCCUAAUGGGAUGCCCCUUCUCCUAAUGGGAUGCCCUACUAUACGAGCCUUUGCAAUUGGUAUCCCCCUUUGUUUGAAAUUCCAUAAUUGAUUGGCCGGUGAUAGUUGUCUUCUUGCAGCUUUAAUAGAACUGUAAUUUAUGUGCAAGACUGCGAGUUAUUCAACUUGAGCUUUUGUCAAAUUGAGUUAGGGUCUGUCUGGUACUCCGGUUCUGUGGGUUAGAGUGGAAAUUGUUUAAUGGUACUGCAUGGGUAAUAUACGUG
This 371-nucleotide long non-coding RNA is filed under the name Manihot esculenta (cassava). RNAcentral describes it as "long non-coding RNA (MESC_LNC002822)". Lineage: Eukaryota; Viridiplantae; Streptophyta; Magnoliopsida; Malpighiales; Euphorbiaceae. The record is from RNAcentral.